UAAACUUUGAAAAUAAAACUUUAUUAAAUAAAAUACCAAACUCUGAAGAACUUAAAUCAAUCAAGGCCUCCCAAUUUUUUAUAUACGUAUUUUUCCAUUUCAUAGAAGGAGCAGGUCUAGCACCAGUGUGGAUGACAGGCUGGAGAGGAGAACCCUGGAGAAAAGGGGAGCAGCCUCUGACUAGUGGAGAAAAGAGAACACCUCAAGUCAAGAAAUGAAAAUGACCCCAAGCCCAGAACCCUCCCUGCAAGUCACCUCUGCAUUACAAACUAGCUUAUUUAAUGAGAUCACUCCCCACGCCCCUGGUCCUCAGCCAGGGGGCGUUUUUCCUCAGUCACCCCUUCAGUUCCGUUAGCUAGAAACCUCAGAGCAUGGAGGUGCUCCACUCCCUCCCAGUGCACAUACCUAACAUAUCCCCAGGGCUCACCUGCCGCACCCUCCUUCACUUUUCCCCACCACCAACACCAGUCCCCAGUCCAAGCUGUUACCUCCUGCAUGGAUGGCCGAGACAGCCUAUUUCAACUCUCUCCCCUCUAAUACUACUUCAUAUCACUGCCAAGAGUGAUGACACUCCGUUACCACGGCACCUCUACUGGUCUUCCCCCUCAGAUCCCCUCAGUGGAUCAGGAUAAGAACAAAACUUCUUACUAGACUUACCAAACCAAAACCACAGUCGGCCUGGCUGAUUGCACUACUGUCACACUGCCUUUCAGCCUUGUAAAUAACAGGAGAGGUGACUGAACAUGUUGAACAGCAGGUAAAUGUUUACGUUCCUUUGGCCACAGGAUCCGUGUACAUGCUGCUGCUAUUGCAUUUUCCUUUCUUCUUCCCCUAGAUAACAUCUACUCAUUCUUGGAAAACCUUAGUCCAGCUUCGGCAGCCUUCCCCUGUUCCAUCAAGUCCCCUGCUCUGCGUUCUCACCACAGCUUCACAUGCCUCUUACAUACCUACAUCUCCUCUGAUCAUCUGACUAGUGUCUACCGCUUCCAUGAGAACUGCUUUAUGAAAAUAAACAUUGUGUUUAACUCAAAACCGUAGUUCCAACACUUAUUCACCAUGCAUUACAUAUAGCAGAAAGUCAAAUCUUUCUUGUAUAACUGAGUGAAUUAAAACAAAUAAAUGAAUUUAGAAACAGAACUGCAUUAAACAAGGUAGAUUCAAGAGUUAUCUCUGGGAUGUAGAAAUACAUUAGAUGUGCACAGCAUUUCUGGUAUGAGUAAUCACAAUGCCACUAUAAAUUUUUUUUUUAAUAUAGGACUAAGAGAAGGCUUGGGUAGUAAAAAACCACUUUGGGAUAUGCUGAGUUUGAGACAUCUGACUAACAUUCAAAUCCAGAGAGGCAAGAACUAAUUAGUAUGUGAUCUAAAGCUGAUUUUAAGUCUGAUUUAAACACAGACUUGGGUGUGUACCAAUGUGUGCAAAGAGAGAACGAGGAGAAAGAAAAGGCCUCAAAACAAGGAGAGUGAACAAGGAAAGUUCAGAGUGAGACAAAACUGAAACCAAAUCAGAAUCUCAGAAACAUUAGUAUUUAAGAAAAAGGAGAUGACAAAGGAGAUGAUGAAGAGAGCAAGAAGAAAAUUAGAAAACUGUGUUACAGAAGUCAAAGGAACCAAGUUUUUAAAGAGUAACUAUCUCAAUAAUGCCAAGUGCCAAAGAGGGUCAAGAGAGACAGAGACUGGCAAAGAACACAGUGCAAUCAGUAGGUAGUGAGGACAGACAGCCACCUCGGGAACAGAGAAGAGGCGCCGGACACAAGGAACUCAACUCCUUUUCCAAGAAGUCUGGAUGCAAAGGAAGGGACGUGCAGGGAGGAGCUGGGAGUCCAUGAAGUGUGGUGUUUGCUGAUUUGUUUUAAAAAUGAAAGAGGGAGUUCCUGUCGUGGCGCAGUGGUUAAUGAAUCCGACUAGGAACCAUGAGGUUGCGGGUUCGGUCCCUGCCCUUGCUCAGUGGGUUGAUGAUCCGGCGUUGCUGUGAGCUGUGGUGUAGGUCGCAGAUGCGGCUCGGAUCCCGAGCUGGCUACAGCUCCGAUUUGACCCCUAGCCUGGGAACCUCCAUAUGCCGCGGGAGCGGCCCAAAGAAAUAGCAAAAAGACCAAAAAAAAAAAAAAAAAA
RNAcentral lists this long non-coding RNA (2111 nucleotides) under Sus scrofa (pig). RNAcentral describes it as "lncRNA (ENSSSCG00015009501.1)". Lineage: Eukaryota; Metazoa; Chordata; Mammalia; Artiodactyla; Suidae. The record is from RNAcentral.